Molecule: ribosomal RNA, 200 nt
Filed under: uncultured bacterium
Lineage: Bacteria
Description: partial 16S ribosomal RNA
Rfam family: Bacterial small subunit ribosomal RNA
Source: RNAcentral
AUUGAACGCUGGCGGAAUGCUUUACACAUGCAAGUCGAACGGUAGAGUAGCAAUACUCGAGAGUGGCGAACGGGUGAGUAAUAUAUCGGAACGUGCCCAACUGUGGGGGAUAACGUAGAGAAAUUUACGCUAAUACCGCAUACGAUCUAAGGAUGAAAGCGGGGGAGUCGCAAGACCUCGCGCAGUUGGAGCGGCUGAUA